Molecule: long non-coding RNA, 778 nt
Organism: Mytilus californianus (California mussel)
Lineage: Eukaryota; Metazoa; Mollusca; Bivalvia; Mytilida; Mytilidae
Exons: 3
Source: RefSeq, a predicted model, not a curated record
AAUUUUCAAAAUUUUACAUUUUCAUUUACCUGGAUUUUUUUCUACGCUUCGAAGCCGCCACCCUGUAUCAAACUUAUCCAACACCUCGCAUGGCGUAUUCACGAUGUGGAGGGAUUGACAAUAUACAAUCAAAGUUAGCAAUAUACAGCAAGUUGCCAGCAAGAUGAAAAGAACAAUGCAGUUCAAAAGUCAAAAUGUGGAUAAGCUGCGGUACAAGGUCCUACUUUUGCAGAUUUUCAUAUUUUGCAUGAAUGAAUUUGAAGUUUAUAUCAUGGAGGGCAGAGAAAGAAAAGAAACACUUCAGUUUUCCUGCUUCUGAAGGAUAAAUGUAAAACAUCUUGUUUGAAGGAUUGAAAUUCAUCACUGAGAAUAAAAGGAGAAAACACAGAAACAAGACCAAAAUAAAUUCAAAGACAAAAGUCAGAUCAGUUAUUAUUUUCAUCACUCAGCCAAUGAAUUGAAGUUCUAUUAAAUAUCUAAAGAUAUUAAAACCACAAUAAUGACAAUGUUCUGUGCUGAAUGGCAAAAAAGUGGACUAUACAUUACGACCACACAAUGCUGGAUGAUGAGAAACUAUUAAUUUUUUGGGUGGAGGGAUAUCCUGAAAAAAAAAUAGAUUUAUGUAAAAAGCUACUAGUAUGUUAAGCCUAUUAAAAGAGUUUUCAUUGAUUUCAAAUGGGAAAAAAUUGUGUUUCAAAAAAGUAUUCUAGAAUUCAUAAAUAAACAAAUAUUGAUACUUACAUUAUCUGCUUUGUUGUUUAAAAGUUUAGUUUUGAAC